Molecule: non-coding RNA, 204 nt
Organism: Pelobates cultripes (western spadefoot toad)
Lineage: Eukaryota; Metazoa; Chordata; Amphibia; Anura; Pelobatidae
Source: the annotation of a GenBank genome assembly
GUUAUUGUCACCCCGCUAUGGAGAGCACAGACUUGGUUUCCAACCCUGCUAGAAAUGUCUGUGAAUUGCCCAAUUCUACUACCUCGAUCCUCCGACAUCCUCAGGAAUCCAGCAGGGCACUGUCACCCACUCACCCUUCAAGGGUGGCUCCAGCUUGUAGCUUGGACCGUUUCAGGGGAUCCUGGAACGUCUCGGGACUUUCGG